RNAcentral lists this long non-coding RNA (364 nucleotides) under Brassica napus (rape). RNAcentral's name for it is "long non-coding RNA (BNAP_LNC016720)". The record is from RNAcentral. Lineage: Eukaryota; Viridiplantae; Streptophyta; Magnoliopsida; Brassicales; Brassicaceae.
UAAAAGCUGUAAAACCAGUAUUUAUGAAACGAAUAUAUUAUAAGCUCAUGUACAUCACAAUUAUAGGCGUAUACGAUUUUAUUUCAUAAUAAGAUAAAUUUCGUCUGUUCUUUAAGAAAUCGAUGCAUGAAUGAUCAACUAUAUAUAUUGUAGUAAUUCAUUAACUAGAUAUCAAAACAUGACUCAUUGUAACAGAAAAAGGAGGCAUGCCAUAAAUGAUACCACUUUAAUUUAUCCAACUAUAUAUUUUGGAAGAUAUUGAAGCUGUUGAACGAAGUGCGGUUUAUCUUUGAAAAUAGUUUAAAUAUACAUCCAUUACUAGCAACAAAACCAAUGAUGCUGGACAUCAAACCAAAAUGAAACA